Molecule: ribosomal RNA, 1341 nt
Filed under: metagenome
Description: bacterial SSU rRNA
Rfam family: Bacterial small subunit ribosomal RNA
Source: RNAcentral
AGAGUUUGAUCCUGGCUCAGGACGAACGCUGGCGGCACGCUUAACACAUGCAAGUCGAACGAGAGAAGAGGAGCUUGCUUUUCUGAUCUAGUGGCGGACGGGUGAGUAACACGUGAGCAAUCUGCCUUUCAGAGGGGGAUACCGAUUGGAAACGAUCGUUAAUACCGCAUAACAUAAUUGAACCGCAUGAUUUGAUUAUCAAAGAUUUAUCGCUGAAAGAUGAGCUCGCGUCUGAUUAGCUAGUUGGUAAGGUAACGGCUUACCAAGGCGACGAUCAGUAGCCGGACUGAGAGGUUGAUCGGCCACAUUGGGACUGAGACACGGCCCAGACUCCUACGGGAGGCAGCAGUGGGGAAUAUUGCACAAUGGAGGAAACUCUGAUGCAGCGAUGCCGCGUGAGGGAAGAAGGUUUUAGGAUUGUAAACCUCUGUCUUCAGGGACGAAAAAAGACGGUACCUGAGGAGGAAGCUCCGGCUAACUACGUGCCAGCAGCCGCGGUAAUACGUAGGGAGCGAGCGUUGUCCGGAAUUACUGGGUGUAAAGGGAGCGUAGGCGGGAUCGCAAGUCAGAUGUGAAAACUAUGGGCUUAACCCAUAAACUGCAUUUGAAACUGUGGUUCUUGAGUGAAGUAGAGGUAAGCGGAAUUCCUAGUGUAGCGGUGAAAUGCGUAGAUAUUAGGAGGAACAUCAGUGGCGAAGGCGGCUUACUGGGCUUUAACUGACGCUGAGGCUCGAAAGCGUGGGGAGCAAACAGGAUUAGAUACCCUGGUAGUCCACGCCGUAAACGAUGAUUACUAGGUGUGGGGGGACUGACCCCUUCCGUGCCGCAGCAAACGCAAUAAGUAAUCCACCUGGGGAGUACGACCGCAAGGUUGAAACUCAAAGGAAUUGACGGGGGCCCGCACAAGCAGUGGAGUAUGUGGAUUAAUUCGAAGCAACGCGAAGAACCUUACCAGGUCUUGACAUCGUAUGCAUAGCUCAGAGAUGAGUGAAAUCUCUUCGGAGACAUAUAGACAGGUGGUGCAUGGUUGUCGUCAGCUCGUGUCGUGAGAUGUUGGGUUAAGUCCCGCAACGAGCGCAACCCUUACUGUUAGUUGCUACGCAAGAGCACUCUAGCAGGACUGCCGUUGACAAAACGGAGGAAGGUGGGGAUGACGUCAAAUCAUCAUGCCCCUUAUGACCUGGGCCUCACACGUACUACAAUGGCUGUCAACAGAGGGAAGCAAAGCCGCGAGGUGGAGCGAACCCCUAAAAGCAGUCUUAGUUUGGAUUGUAGGCUGCAACCCGCCUACAUGAAGUCGGAAUUGCUAGUAAUCGCAGAUCAGCAUGCUGCGGUGAAUAC